GCCCGAGUAGCUCAGUCUGGAUAGAGCGCGUCCCUCCUAAGGACGAGGUCGAAGGUUCGAAUCCUUUCUCGGGCG
This 75-nucleotide transfer RNA is filed under the name archaeon. RNAcentral's name for it is "tRNA-Arg". It matches the Rfam family "tRNA". Rfam says of the family: Transfer RNA (tRNA) molecules are approximately 80 nucleotides in length. Their secondary structure includes four short double-helical elements and three loops (D, anti-codon, and T loops). The record is from RNAcentral.